CCUACGGGUGGCUGCAGUGGGGAAUAUUGUACAAUGGAGGAAACUCUGAUGCAGCGACGCCGCGUGAGUGAAGACGGUCUUCGGAUUGUAAACCUCUUUUUUUGGGGAAGAAAAUGACGGUACCCAAAGAGUAAGCUCCGGCCAACUACGACCCAGCAGCCGCGGUAAUACUUAGGGAGCGAGCGUUGUCCGGAAUUACUGUGUGUAAAGGGAGCGUAGGCGGGCGAGAAUGAUGAAUGUAAAAGCUACGGGUUUAACUGGUCGGUGCGUUCGAAACCUGGUGACUUGAGUGAAGUAGAGGAAAGCGGAAUUCCUGGUGUAGCGGUGAAAUGCGUAGAUAUUAGGAGGAACACCAGUGGCGAAGGCGGCCUGCUGGGCUUUAACUGACGCUGAGGCUCGAAAGCGUGGGGAGCAAACAGGAUUAGAUACCCCAGUAGUC
This 439-nucleotide ribosomal RNA is filed under the name uncultured bacterium. RNAcentral's name for it is "partial 16S ribosomal RNA". It matches the Rfam family "Bacterial small subunit ribosomal RNA", at positions 338 to 795 of the family's 1533-position model. The record is from RNAcentral.